AACGAACGCUGGCGGCAUGCCUAACACAUGCAAGUCGAACGAGACCUUCGGGUCUAGUGGCGCACGGGUGCGUAACGCGUGGGAACCUGCCCUUAGGUUCGGAAUAACUCCCCGAAAGGGGUGCUAAUACCGGAUAAUGUCUUCGGACCAAAGAUUUAUCGCCUUUGGAUGGGCCCGCGUUGGAUUAGCUAGUUGGUAGGGUAAAAGCCUACCAAGGCGACGAUCCAUAGCUGGUCUGAGAGGAUGAUCAGCCACACUGGGACUGAGACACGGCCCAGACUCCUACGGGAGGCAGCAGUGGGGAAUAUUGGACAAUGGGCGAAAGCCUGAUCCAGCCAUGCCGCGUGAGUGAUGAAGGCCUUAGGGUUGUAAAGCUCUUUUACCCGGGAUGAUAAUGACAGUACCGUGAGAAUAAGCUCCGGCUAACUCCGUG
Molecule: ribosomal RNA, 433 nt
Filed under: uncultured bacterium
Lineage: Bacteria
Description: partial 16S ribosomal RNA
Rfam family: Bacterial small subunit ribosomal RNA
Source: RNAcentral